RNAcentral lists this ribosomal RNA (135 nucleotides) under Ditylum brightwellii. RNAcentral describes it as "partial Bacterial large subunit ribosomal RNA". It matches the Rfam family "Bacterial large subunit ribosomal RNA", at positions 445 to 581 of the family's 2925-position model. The record is from RNAcentral. Lineage: Eukaryota; Bacillariophyta; Thalassiosirophyceae; Lithodesmiales; Lithodesmiaceae.
AGGGGGAACCACCCUCCUGGCAAAUACAUCUGUGUGACCGAUAGUGAACUAGUACCGUGAGGGAAAGGCGAAAAGAACCCCGGAGAGGGGAGUGAAAUAGAUCCUGAAACCGUAUGCGUACAAGCAGUGGGAGCC